UGCUCGGUAGCUUAGUUGGUGAAGCGCUCGUCUAGCAUACAAGAGUCUUGGGUUUGAAUCAUAGCCGAGCAC
Molecule: transfer RNA, 72 nt
Filed under: Aedes aegypti (yellow fever mosquito)
Lineage: Eukaryota; Metazoa; Arthropoda; Insecta; Diptera; Culicidae
Rfam family: tRNA
About the family: Transfer RNA (tRNA) molecules are approximately 80 nucleotides in length. Their secondary structure includes four short double-helical elements and three loops (D, anti-codon, and T loops).
Source: Rfam by way of RNAcentral